AGGCUUCACAUGAGUUGCUAAAUUGAGAAGUAAGUAUGGUAUCACCAUUGGAAGUAAAAAAUAACUCAUUUUGUAUUUCAAUACUCAAAUUUGAGUCUCACCAUUGGAGAUGGUCUAAUAUAUCAUAUGGAACAACAUUCUUAGUUUAUGAUUACUUAAGAGCCUCUCCGACUAGAGACUACUUAAGAGCCUCUCCAAUGUAGCGGCAAAGGCUGCUGUUGCUUUGGAUGGGGGCAUAGAAGAAGUCAUUCGAAGGAAAGUGUUUCAAUUGAGGCAAAAAUUAAGAAAUUUGAUGAGGAAUUAAUGGGAAAAGCUAAGAAAAAGCCCCCAAAUUUGGCGUUAGAAAGAAGCUCCUCACUUCCAAAACCCUCGAACAAUACUAAUUCUCUCUCUUCCUCUCUAUUUCUUUCUUUAUAUUAUACUCUGCAGGAUACUUUUUUCCUUCCAUUUUCUGCAUGAUGUGGGCUUGCAAAUCUGAAUGUCGAAUCAAAGAAGUUUAAGUUGUACUGAUUUUGAGUUCUCUAGAUUGGUGGAAUCCUGAUUGACUUUAUCUUGUAAAUAAUGUGUUCUCUAUUCAACUCCAUUCAAAUCAAAGCCUCCAAGGAAAGUAUACACUCUUGUUUUCUUGCCUCUAUUUCGCUCAAAAGUCCAAAACCUUCGUCUUCAUCAGCUUUAAAGGCACUGCUGGUUGAGAAAAAUGUGAAAAUCUAGAAGGUACAAGGCCAUGGGCAUUAGGAAGAACACUGCAUAUAAGCUAUAUUGCACAAAACAAAGUUCUGCUAUACAAUUCAAUGCCAACCUUCCCCGAUUUAGCAAGUCACAAAGGUUGGCAUAGUCUUUCUUUUUUCUUAUCAAUCACAAAGGCAGGGCUGCGACUACUUAAGAGCCUCUCCGAUCAGAAUGUAGCGGAGGAGGCUUCUGUUGAUUUGAAUGGGGGGCAUAGAAGAAGUCAUUUCGAGGAAAAUGUUUCAAUUGAUUAAGAAAUGUGAUGACUUAUUAAUGGGAAAAGCUAAAAAAAAGCCUCAAAUUUGGCGUCUGGAAGAAGCUUUUCACUUCCAAAACUCUCAAACAAUGUCUCGGGAGAUGAUAGCAAAUAAGCACCAUACAAAGAAAGCUGAUGUUAUUGUUUUGGCAUCGUCUUGUGGGAGAUCUUGACCGUAUUGAUGCCCUGCGUUGUAUUUAAGAUUGAUGAGAAGAAGAAAGAGCUUGUAGAUGAGAAGAUUGGCAAUUCAGCCGAAAGCUAUGAUGAUUUUUGGCUGCCUUACUGGAAAGUGACUGUGGAUAUGCAUCUCUGUCUAUGAUUUUGACAUCUGGAUGAGAAGAUUGGCAAUUCAGCCGAAAGCUAUGAUGAUUUUUGGCUGCCUUACUGGAAAGUGACUGUGGAUAUGCAUCUCUGUCUAUGAUUUUGACAUCUGAAUACUUUGAAACAGGAAAAGCAACGGCCAAAGGG
Chenopodium quinoa (quinoa) is the source of this 1450-nucleotide long non-coding RNA. RefSeq lists it as uncharacterized. Lineage: Eukaryota; Viridiplantae; Streptophyta; Magnoliopsida; Caryophyllales; Amaranthaceae. The transcript is spliced from 4 exons. The record is from RefSeq and is a predicted model, not a curated record.